UACAAUUCGCUACCAUGAGUAACAUAUUUGACAGAUGUCACCCUGUUUAGCGUUACUAUUAUAGUUGCGUCACUCACUUGAAAAAAUCUUCCCGUAUAUUCCCC
This is a long non-coding RNA of Melitaea cinxia (Glanville fritillary), 104 nucleotides long. RefSeq lists it as uncharacterized. The record is from RefSeq and is a predicted model, not a curated record. The transcript is spliced from 3 exons. NCBI's taxonomy places the organism in Eukaryota, Metazoa, Arthropoda, Insecta, Lepidoptera, Nymphalidae.